CUUUUGUUUUGUCGGUCUCUCUCUUUCUCUCUUGUUCUCUCAGCCAAACUGAUCAAUUUCAAUCUCUUCAUCUGUUUCCAUCGAUCUCUCUCUCUCUCGAUCAGCCAAGAGAAGAAACUCUCUCUCGAUCUCUCUCUCGAUCUCUCUCUCGUUCUAUUUCUCGAUUUCUCUCUAUGGAUUUCUCGAUCUCUCAAUGAAUUUCUCGAUCUGUCUCUCUCUCGAGCGCCAGAGGCUCUAUUUCUCGAUCUCUCUCUCUCGAGCGCCACAGACGAUCGCUGUGCUAAUAAUCUCGUCUCUCACUCGUCACCGAAUGAUUUGUCAGCUUUGUUUCUUUGUAAAGCUUCUUCGCCUUGCCUUGACAAAGGAAGAUUUGAUUUGCGGAGUAGUGCAAGUGGGUGUGACUGUAUCCAAGGUUGUGGCAGUGGCUGCCUUUGUGAAGCCAAGAAUUCAGGUGAGUUUGCUUAUGAUUAUCAUGGGAAGUUAAUAAGAUUGAAACCAUUGAUACAUGAAUGUGGACCAGCAUGUCAGUGCCCUCCAACUUGUCGAAACCGUGUGACUCAAAAGGGUUUGAAGAACAGACUAGAAGUGUUUAGGUCAGUGGAAACGGGUUGGGGAGUUCGGUCUUUGGAUAUAUUACAUGCUGGUGCUUUUAUUUGUGAGUAUGCUGGGGUUGCUUUGACAAGGGAACAAGCCAACAUUCUGACAAUGAACGGGUGAUACAAUGGUAUAUCCUGCUCGGGUGAUCCAAAUGUCAUUGUCCAGUUAGUACUCCAUGAUCACAACAGUCUGAUGUUCCCCAGAGUCGUGCUUUUCGCUGCAGAGAAUAUCCCUCCCAUGACUGAGCUUAGCCUUGAUUAUGGAGUAGCUGAUGAUUGGACCGCCAAGCUUGCCAUUUAUAAUUGGAAAAUCUCCUUUUUAAAUGAUGGUUCUUAGCCAUCUUUUUUCCAGAAAUCAUUCUCUCGAGGAGUUGUUAUAAAGUUAGAGACGACAAGGAAAGCAAGGAAUAGUCUGUAUUAAUGUGCUCCAUUAACAUCAGAAGAGUUAACUACUGAAUUCUUUAUAAUCUAGGAGUUUUUUUUGGUGGAGUAAGUUCUUGUUUACGGUCAUGUCCUCUGUCUCAUCUUCAGCUUCGUCGUUUUCUAAGACAUGCACAUUAUCAUAUUGGAUUCUUCUGGUCAUGUUGUUGAUAUGGAAGGAUGAUGGAAGGAUGAGAGUUCUCGUUGGUAUAUCAUCUACACAGAUAACAAUAGAGAAAUUCUAAACCAACAUAUUCAAAAGCAAAGGCUUGGCUAUUUCAUGUGUGUGAAGAAAAAAAACGAGAGAGAGAGCAAAGAUUCUCAUAGUCAAACUCGGUUUUAAGGGUUUGUAACCAGAAGUCUUUAAGGUUUUUUUAUCAAAGUUCUCUGCAACGAACGCAACGCAGCGUAGAAAAAAAAAAAAAAGAACAGUGGAGGAUUCAGACUCUGCUUUUUAAGUUUGCAGGUACUAGAGAAAGAAGUUGUAAAGAUGUGUCGCGCAGUCACGAGAAGCAGUCCGAGGAACUAAGGAUCUUAUCGUUGACAACUCCAUAUAUAUACAGCGCUUUAUUACUUUGAGCUCAGUUCGGGCAAUUGUUGCAGAAAAAUAGUGACCACGCUCACUUUGUUGACAUCUCUCCUCUGUAAAAGGGUUGCAUCACUUUUGAACUUCUUCGAUUUGUAAAUCACUCAGGUUUGUUCUUUUUCUAUCUAUAUAAGAUGUUAAGUUUCUUAAUAAUAGCCAUUACACUCAUAAUAUAUAGCUCUUACAUAUAUUCACUUAUCUUCCCUAUGUUUUUGAACCUUAUUACACACUUAACUGAUAUAUUACACAAUCCAUUCUACACUUGCCUAGACAUUAGUCGUCUUAAUCAAUAAUCACAUACUUGUUUCAUAUUCCAAAUGACGCUCUAUCUCUAAUUUGUUUCCUUUGGAGGAACGGAAUAAUUAAAGGAAGAUUAAAAUGAAGCGUAGGAUCGGCAAUAGCGGCCUUGAUUGGUUGUAGCUUUGGAUUUUUGUCUCUAGAUUUAGAGCUGUGUAAUUUUUGGCUGUGACUGUAGAUUUUAUUGCGGCACGAUAUUGGGUGUAGGAAUUAUUUUUUUUAGAAAGCUGAAAUAUAUGUGAAAAAUGACUUUGUACCGCCAAAAUCUUUCCUUAAUUUUUUUCGGUUGUGAAUCAAAAAAGGAAAUACAAAUUUUAUAAAGUUUGAUUGCUGGUUUA
This is a long non-coding RNA of Capsella rubella, 2237 nucleotides long. RefSeq lists it as uncharacterized. Lineage: Eukaryota; Viridiplantae; Streptophyta; Magnoliopsida; Brassicales; Brassicaceae. The transcript is spliced from 8 exons. The record is from RefSeq and is a predicted model, not a curated record.